This 499-nucleotide ribosomal RNA is filed under the name uncultured Glomus. Its description in RNAcentral is "SSU rRNA". It matches the Rfam family "Eukaryotic small subunit ribosomal RNA", at positions 569 to 1074 of the family's 1831-position model. Lineage: Eukaryota; Fungi; Glomeromycota; Glomeromycetes; Glomerales; Glomeraceae. The record is from RNAcentral.
AGCAGCCGCGGUAAUUCCAGCUCCAAUAGCGUAUAUUAAAGUUGUUGCAGUUAAAAAGCUCGUAGUUGAAUUUCGGGACUAGUACGCUGGUCAUGCCUUUGGUAUGUACUGGUGUUACUGGUACCUACCUUCUGACGAACCGUCAUGUCAUUCAUUUGGUGUGGCGGGGAAUCAGGACUGUUACUUUGAAAAAUUAGAGUGUUUAAAGCAGGCUCGCGCUUGAAUACAUUAGCAUGGAAUAAUGAAAUAGGACGUUUGAUCCUAUUUUGUUGGUUUCUAGGAUUGACGUAAUGAUUAAUAGGGAUAGUUGGGGGCAUUAGUAUUCAAUUGUCAGAGGUGAAAUUCUUGGAUUUAUUGAAGACUAACUACUGCGAAAGCAUUUGCCAAGGAUGUUUUCAUUAAUCAAGAACGAAAGUUAGGGGAUCGAAGACAAUCAGAUACCGUCGUAGUCUUAACCAUAAACUAUGCCGACUAGGGAUCGGAUGAUGUAUUUUAAUGA